RNAcentral lists this ribosomal RNA (305 nucleotides) under uncultured bacterium. RNAcentral's name for it is "partial 16S ribosomal RNA". It matches the Rfam family "Bacterial small subunit ribosomal RNA", at positions 508 to 807 of the family's 1533-position model. The record is from RNAcentral.
ACAGCAGCCGCCGCGGUAAUACGGAGGGUGCAAGCGUUAAUCGGAAUUACUGGGCGUAAAGCGCACGCAGGCGGUUUGACAAGUCAGAUGUGAAAUCCCCGGGCUUAACCUGGGAACUGCAUUUGAAACUGUCAGGCUGGAGUCUUGUAGAGGGUGGUGGAAUUCCAGGUGUAGCGGUGAAAUGCGUAGAGAUCUGGAGGAAUACCGGUGGCGAAGGCGGCCCCCUGGACAAAGACUGACGCUCAGGUGCGAAAGCGUGGGGAGCAAACAGGAUUAGAUACCCGCGUAGUCCCUGUCUCUUAUAC